UUUUCAGUGCCUGAGGCUUGCUCUGAGUUUUGGGUCCCAAAGAAAUUAAACAUACAAAAUCAGUUCUGAGACCUUGUAUUCUUCUAAAGAAUUUAUCCUCUCCGACAUAAGAUGGACCUGAAUCAACCAUGAAUAGCAGAGGUAAAAAAAGAUUCUUGCCCUGAAGAUGGAACUGAUUAGCUAGUUCCAUACGUUGAAUGGAUAAGGCAAUUGGCUUGAGUCUGGCGCAACUGUCAUUCACUGGAGAACAUUUUCAUGAAAUCAUAACAAAUGAAAAGCAACUUGUUCUCUCAGUAGAGUCCAAGUAACAUACAGUCUCAAAUGGAUUUUAUCUUCACAAUACACGUGAGGUAUGGAAAUAUCAGUAUUUUACAAAUGGGAAACCAAGGCAAAGAGUGGAUUGAAUGAUUUGGCCAUGGUAAUACAGUGGUCCUGAAGUUGAGAUGGAAUUUAAAUGGUGGUUUACUGAGUGCUAGUCCUGCAGCGUCUUUACUAAACCAUGCCUCCUCUUCUUCCCCACCCCAUAUUUUCACUGAAGAACAUGCAGAGACUGAGAGUAAAAAGGAAAACUAGCAUUAACUCUAGCAAAACUGAAUAAUUUGUCAGAAACUGUCAUUUCAGGUGUUUCUUCUGCUAUUUGUAAUGCCCUUGCACUUACGUGGGGAAAUUAUUAUAAAGAGGUCAUGCAUGCCAGUAACUGAAGCUUGGUUUGACUCUCAUUAAGGCCAAAAUAAGUGGGAAGAAGAUGAUCACCAGACAUAAUUAAUGAUGCUGCAUUAAGCUAUUACUUCAAUGGUUAAAUGUUACAGGCUAGCUCUAAUUAUAAAACAUGUCAUGCUUUUAGCCAAUCAUUUUUCUCUUGCUCUCUUUUUCUAUUUUGCCUCCAUACACAUUAUUCAAAUGAUCUGAAUAAGUUCCUUCCCAUCUUUGCUUCACAAUACUGGAGAGACAAGGUAGUGAGGUAAUACCUUUUCUUGGGCCAACUUAUGUCAUGGAAAGAAACUUUUGAGCUUACACAGAGCUCUGAAAAGAGCUCUGUGUAAGCUUGAAAACUUGUCUUUUUUCGCCAACUGAAGCACGUCCAAUAAAAGAUAUUCCUUUGCCCAUCUUGUUCUUCUAAUAUCCUGGGAUGAACAAGGCUACAACAACACUUCAAACACAAUGCUGGUCGUUUCAGUUUGUCUUUUAUUCAGAGACAUACCAUAAUACCAAGUGCAGUAUAAAUUUUAUAAUAAAUAUCUGAUGAAGUCCAGGGUUAUGCCCUGCACUUUUUCCCUGUCUCUAACAUCUUUGAUCCUCUGAUCUUUUGUGUGUGCAUUAGUGUUCUUGAUCUUAUGUUCUGCUGCUAGCUGAAGGUCAGUAGCGGCCUGAGCACUGGAGAAAGGGCUUGAUCCAAAGCCCUCUGAAGCUAGUGGAAAAUGCCUCAUUGAUUACGAUGGGCUUUGGAUCAGAUCCAAAGUCAAAGGACAAAUAAUCAACUGAACUACGAUGAGCCUUAGUGGUUUCUCCCCCUGUUUUGACAAAGGGCCUUGAUGAGUUUUCACGUUCCCUUUAAUUUGUGCUUAAUAAACCUGGAUGACAGGA
This is a non-coding RNA of Pelodiscus sinensis (Chinese soft-shelled turtle), 1584 nucleotides long. The record is from RefSeq and is a predicted model, not a curated record. Lineage: Eukaryota; Metazoa; Chordata; Testudines; Trionychidae.